RNAcentral lists this ribosomal RNA (250 nucleotides) under uncultured bacterium. RNAcentral's name for it is "partial 16S ribosomal RNA". It matches the Rfam family "Bacterial small subunit ribosomal RNA", at positions 524 to 773 of the family's 1533-position model. The record is from RNAcentral.
AACGUAGGAAGCGAGCGUUAUCCGGAUUUACUGGGCGUAAAGCGCAUGCAGGCGGUUUGGAAAGUUGGAUGUGAAAGCUCCUGGCUUAACUGGGAGAGGUCGUUCAAUACUUCCAGACUAGAGGAUGUGAGAGGAAAGUGGAAUUCCGAGUGUAGUGGUGAAAUGCGUAGAUAUUCGGAGGAACACCAGUGGCGAAAGCGGCUUUCUGGCACAUAUCUGACGCUCAUAUGCGAAAGCUAGGGUAGCAAAC